RNAcentral lists this ribosomal RNA (596 nucleotides) under Methanosarcina sp. enrichment culture clone B10. Its description in RNAcentral is "bacterial SSU rRNA". It matches the Rfam family "Archaeal small subunit ribosomal RNA", at positions 63 to 658 of the family's 1478-position model. Lineage: Archaea; Methanobacteriati; Methanobacteriota; Methanomicrobia; Methanosarcinales; Methanosarcinaceae. The record is from RNAcentral.
UGUUCUUCGUGAACAUGGCGUACUGCUCAGUAACACGUGGAUAACCUGCCCUUGGGUCCGGCAUAACCCCGGGAAACUGGGGAUAAUUCCGGAUAACGCACAUAUGCUGGAAUGCUUUAUGCGUCAAAUGGAUUCGUCUGCCCAAGGAUGGGUCUGCGGCCUAUCAGGUAGUAGUGGGUGUAAUGUACCUACUAGCCGACGACGGGUACGGGUUGUGAGAGCAAGAGCCCGGAGAUGGAUUCUGAGACAUGAAUCCAGGCCCUACGGGGCGCAGCAGGCGCGAAAACUUUACAAUGCGGGAAACCGUGAUAAGGGGACACCGAGUGCCAGCAUCAUAUGCUGGCUGUCCGGGUGUGUAAAAUACACCUGUUAGCAAGGGCCGGGCAAGACCGGUGCCAGCCGCCGCGGUAACACCGGCGGCCCGAGUGGUGAUCGUGAUUAUUGGGUCUAAAGGGUCCGUAGCCGGUUUGGUCAGUCCUCCGGGAAAUCUGACGGCUUAACCGUUAGGCUUUCGGAGGAUACUGCCAGGCUUGGAACCGGGAGAGGUAAGAGGUACUACAGGGGUAGGAGUGAAAUCUUGUAAUCCCUGUGGGACC